Molecule: long non-coding RNA, 519 nt
Organism: Hevea brasiliensis (rubber tree)
Lineage: Eukaryota; Viridiplantae; Streptophyta; Magnoliopsida; Malpighiales; Euphorbiaceae
Exons: 2
Source: RefSeq, a predicted model, not a curated record
GAACAUAGGAGAUCGGAGAACUAGACAUGGAACUGUCUAAAUAAGCAAUAUUUGACCAGAACUGGCAAUGAAAAACUCAAGAUUAAGAAGGGAAGCUCUGCCCCAACUACAAGUUCCAUAGUCACAUUUAUCAGGCGGCCACCAGUCUAAAGUAGCACAGAUAAAAUCAUGGUCAGUUGCUCCAAUUGAAGCUGUUCCAUUGAUGAAAAGAGUACCUUGUGUGCUCUGUGAAGGCACAAAGACUGAGCUUUUACUCACCAGGUAAAGCCAAACACACGAAAUCAAAAACAAGAGACUGAAGAAAGAACCCAUUAGAUAAAGUAGUGUCUUCUGCUUUGUGCUUGUCUCUAUAUCAGCUUUCACGGUUGCCAUGCAAGUCAGGAGUAGUUAAAUGACAAGACUAUCAUUGGCUGCAGAGAGAAAUUUUUUGUGUUAGAGAUGAGAAGCUGAAAUUUAAUCAUAUUUAUAUGCACAUAAAGAAAGUGAUAUAAAACAAUAACUUAGAGCAUCUUUUGGUGA